This 30-nucleotide non-coding RNA is filed under the name Mus musculus (house mouse). The record is from RNAcentral. Lineage: Eukaryota; Metazoa; Chordata; Mammalia; Rodentia; Muridae.
UAGCAGUUUCUUUCUUGUAGCCAUACUUGC